RNAcentral lists this long non-coding RNA (302 nucleotides) under Anser brachyrhynchus (Pink-footed goose). RNAcentral's name for it is "lncRNA (ENSABRG00000004100.1)". Lineage: Eukaryota; Metazoa; Chordata; Aves; Anseriformes; Anatidae. The record is from RNAcentral.
CAAGACUGUACCUAAUUCAAGCAGCAGCAGUUGUAUCUGUACCAGCCAGAAGACUUCAUCUCAUUUAUGUUCAGCUUCACUUGUGGUUGUCAGCAAAUAGCCUUUGGAGUUUAAUUACAUGAUCAAGAUUGCUGCGGAGCAUGGAAGAUGAAAGAACGAAUAGGUGGGUUGGCUGCACAGCAGUCAUCAACAUAAAACCCUUCAGUGCGGGAACUGCGCUUGAGUGUGAGUUGGCAAACUACAUCUCUGCAUAUAGAUCUGUGCCUGUUUUUGACUGUCUUCAUUUGCAACAGAACGCAUAA